Branchiostoma floridae (Florida lancelet) is the source of this 1835-nucleotide long non-coding RNA. RefSeq lists it as uncharacterized. The record is from RefSeq and is a predicted model, not a curated record. Lineage: Eukaryota; Metazoa; Chordata; Leptocardii; Amphioxiformes; Branchiostomatidae. The transcript is spliced from 3 exons.
CAUGCGCAGUAUGUUCCGGUGACGUGCUCAGUAGACGGGUCCAUUCCGUGAACAAGGAAAAGGGAGUCAGACAAAUAUUUGGGUGGUUCUGGUAUCUUCAACCUUUGGUAUGCAAAUAUGAAGAACCCAUGCUAUAUGGAAAUGCAAACGAUUACGGGUCUUCAACUUUGACAUAUUACCCAGGGUUUCUUUCAACCGCACAUGCGUGGUAACUAGUGUGAGAAGGCUUGUAGAUGAGACAAAAUGCAGCAAGUUGGAAAGAUAUCAGCGGACGUAAUGUUGGAAACGGCGAAAACUGUAUCCCAACCGCAGACAAGAUUCUCCAAGAGAAAUUCUGUCGAGCCCAUUCUGAUGGACCGAUCAAGAACAGCCAAGACGGGACUCCACAGCACAUCCUGGUCAAGUGAAACAGCUAUCAAGACAAGGUCAAGAUAAUGAAAGUACCAAGAGCUAAGCUGAAAAAUGGGCACUUCUACUUUACGGAUGGCCAUACAGCUGCCGAUCUGCAAGAAAAAAAUUGUUACUGGGAAGGUGACUCUCCGUUCUGCAGCCACAGCGGCUGCAAAAGAGGCUACCGUGCCGUUGCGAGUAGCGACUGUGGGGACGGAGCUUGCUGCUUUACAGGCAGCAAAAUCUACUGUUGUGCCGGAUAAGCCCAGUUUCCUCGAUUGGAUGAAUUUUGUCAUCUCCUUUUCUUUUAGUAACGCUAUUUCCCCUUUAUCCGUGGGAUAACCUAUUUCCGUUGUUUUUCAAACCAGGGUAUUUAGGUAUAUCAAGUCGAUGAACAGUGGUUUCAAGCUGCAAUAUUUUCAAAAUACCGUAAUUUGAAACCAGCGUCCGUCGACUUGAUAUCCCUAAAUACUCUAUUCUUAAAAACAACGGAUAUAGGUUACCCCGCGGAUAAAGGUGAAUGAGCGUUACAAAUUGUAAAAUAUAAGUUGAAACAUCUACUUGAAGACUUGGACUUGCUGACAAAGAAUAGCUUUUAUUCACUUGCUGUUUAAUGUUAUUACCAUGCAGUUUCCAAAAUUACAUCUAGCUGCUUGAGUAACUGUUUUUGGCAUAUCUUAUUACCCGGAUGUCUAACCUUCAUCGACGUUAUGUAACGUUACCAUACUUUGUGACACAUAUUGUACACGCAAACAAAUCCCAAGAAAUGGCUAGGAAUCUUAGAAUCAACUUGAAUAUCUGUUACAAAUUCAUCAAGACUUUUCACCUGGCAUAAUUCAUAGAAUCCAGAAGAACGAUAUUAUUUUUUGAUACAGCACAUUUGAAGGCCCUAUAAUUAAGUGGUUUAUUGUGCUUAGAAUCAAAAUGCGAGUUAUUGUGGCAAUGAGUAAAGGGUUAAUGUACGUAUGAAUGGUAAUAAUUCCAGAUCUUUUUUAUGCUUAAGAUCAACACAUAUACAAUUGUGAUGAUAAAUCUUUAUUGUAGAAUUAAAACAUAUGAAGGAUGUUUAUUAUUAGUUUUUUUAAUGUAAAUGCUGUUGCACCGGGAUGCAUAUAUACAUCAUAAAUGUAUAUAUCACGACAGUUAAAUUCUGCUAUCUUUUCUUUCCACUUUGAAGUUGUAUUUAGUUUGUUUUCAAAUUUUCUUAAGAGCCCACUGAUGUAUACUCUUUAUUGUACAUUCCUAUGGAUAAUGCGUAAUAUUUUUUAUGUCUAGGUCUAUUAUCUGUAUCAAUGUAUAUACAUGUAUGUGUAUGCAUGGAGUUGGUUUUUAUUGCAUUUUUGAUCUAGUCUUUAGCGUGUUUUGAGGGGCUAUUUGUAAAAGUGACUUUGCACCUGUUUCAUCCCUCUUCACAUUUUACUUGUGAUGAAUUUGAAGCAAGAAAG